RNAcentral lists this small RNA (678 nucleotides) under Histoplasma ohiense. Its description in RNAcentral is "hypothetical lncRNA". Lineage: Eukaryota; Fungi; Ascomycota; Eurotiomycetes; Onygenales; Ajellomycetaceae. The record is from RNAcentral.
AAAUACUGAGUGGGUGCUUCUCUGGUGUGCCUAAAAUGUUCGCUACUGCAGUGGGGAUUCACCUAAAUGCAUGGUGACCAUGAAGUGUCCUUGCAUUGGCGUUGGCUUUUUAACACGUUUUUUUUUUAUUUUUUCUAAGAGUAAAAUUCCCACCUAAAAUUGAUGUUUGCCCGGCUAUCCCGACUUCAUCGACACUUCAACGACACACGGGAACUUAUAACUACGCGCCCUGUUGAGAUGUUCUCUAGGCUGCGUCAUGCUUGGGCUCCCUCCAGGCGGUAGACUUUGAAACUAACGCACCUCUCGGUACCCAACGAAAGGCCGUGAGACUUGGGACCGGGGCCCCUCAACAUUUUUGAAAGAUAGGGCUUGUGUUUAGCAUACAUCAGCAUGGACUCAAUUUUUGGGGAGAUUCUGAAUCCGAAGAGGGGGGAAGGGAUGUUGUGGACUGGCUCUGCCAACUCAGUGGGAUGAAUGAACCAUCUUUCCUGAGUCCUGACAGCAUGGCAGGCACAUACCGAACAUCUGCAGCUUACUGCAGGAGACAACCCUGGAACAAUUGUAGCUUAGGUGAUAUCACUUUGCAUCGUGCAAGUGGGGGGAGGUGUACGCUGUAAGGAGCAAACAAAAUUCUCCGUCUGGUGCUCGAGCGGAGGAGAACCAAUGUCCAUGUCGCCG